GGCCCGUUGGUCCAGGGGCAUGAUUCUCGCUUUGGGUGCGAGAGGUCCCGGGUUCAAAUCCCGGACGGGCCC
RNAcentral lists this transfer RNA (72 nucleotides) under Dermacentor andersoni. Its description in RNAcentral is "transfer RNA proline (anticodon UGG)". It matches the Rfam family "tRNA". Rfam says of the family: Transfer RNA (tRNA) molecules are approximately 80 nucleotides in length. The record is from RNAcentral. Lineage: Eukaryota; Metazoa; Arthropoda; Arachnida; Ixodida; Ixodidae.